This 460-nucleotide ribosomal RNA is filed under the name uncultured bacterium. Its description in RNAcentral is "partial 16S ribosomal RNA". It matches the Rfam family "Bacterial small subunit ribosomal RNA", at positions 338 to 795 of the family's 1533-position model. The record is from RNAcentral.
CCUACGGGAGGCAGCAGUGAGGAAUAUUGGUCAAUGGUCGCGAGCCUGAACCAGCCAAGUAGCGUGAAGGAUGACUGCCCUACGGGUUGUAAACUUCUUUUAUAAAGGAAUAAAGUGAGGCACGUGUCCCUUUUUGUAUGUACUUGAUGAAUAAGCAUCGACUAACUCCGUGCCAGCAGCCGCGGUAAUACGGAGGAUCCGAGCGUUAUCCGGAUUUAUUGGGUUUAAAGGGAGCGUAGGUGGGUUGUUAAGUCAGGUGUGAAAGUUUGGGGCUCAACCGUAAAAUUGCAAUUGAUACUGGCAGUCUUGAGUACAGUUGAGGUAGGCGGAAUUCGUGGUGUAGCGGUGAAAUGCUUAGAUAUCACGAAGAACUCCGAUUGCGAAGGCAGCUUACUAACCUGCCACUGACGUUGAGGCUCGAAAGUGUGGGUAUCGAACAGGAUUAGAUACCCUAGUAGUC